RNAcentral lists this ribosomal RNA (468 nucleotides) under uncultured bacterium. Its description in RNAcentral is "partial 16S ribosomal RNA". It matches the Rfam family "Bacterial small subunit ribosomal RNA", at positions 28 to 507 of the family's 1533-position model. The record is from RNAcentral.
GACGAACGCUGGCGGCGUACUUAACACAUGCAAGUCGAACGGAAAGGCCCUGCUUUUGUGGGGUGCUCGAGUGGCGAACGGGUGAGUAACACGUGAGUAACCUGCCCUUGACUUUGGGAUAACUUCAGGAAACUGGGGCUAAUACCGGAUAGGAGCUCCUGCUGCAUGGUGGGGGUUGGAAAGUUUCGGCGGUUGGGGAUGGACUCGCGGCUUAUCAGCUUGUUGGUGGGGUAGUGGCUUACCAAGGCUUUGACGGGUAGCCGGCCUGAGAGGGUGACCGGCCACAUUGGGACUGAGGUACGGCCCAGACUCCUACGGGAGGCAGCAGUGGGGAAUAUUGCACAAUGGGCGGAAGCCUGGUGCAGCAACGCCGCGUGCGGGAUGACGGCCUUCGGGUUGUAAACCGCUUUCGCCUGUGACGAAGCGUGAGUGACGGUAAUGGGUAAAGAAGCACCGGCUAACUACGUG